Molecule: ribosomal RNA, 425 nt
Filed under: uncultured bacterium
Lineage: Bacteria
Description: bacterial SSU rRNA
Rfam family: Bacterial small subunit ribosomal RNA
Source: RNAcentral
GUUAGGAAUAUUGGACAAUGGGCGAAAGCCUGAUCCAGCCAUGCCGCGUGAACGAUGAAGGCCUUCGGGUUGUAAAGUUCUUUAGCCGAUGAUUAUAAUGACUGUAGUCGGAAAAUAAGCCCCGGCUAACUUCGUGCCAGCAGCCGCGGUAAUACGAAGGGGGCGAGCGUUAUUCGGAAUCACUGGGCGUAAAGCGUGCGUAGGCGGUUUUGUAAGUUAGGAGUGAAAGCCCAGGGCUCAACCUUGGAAUUGCUCUUAAAACUGCAAGGCUCGAAUCUCGGAGAGGAUAGCGGAAUUUCCAGUGUAGCAGUGAAAUGCGUAGAUAUUGGAAGGAACACCAGUGGCGUAAGUGGCUAUCUGGACGAGUAUUGACGCUGAGGCACGAAAGCGUGGGGAUCAAACAGGAUUAGAAACCCCGGUAGUCC